Molecule: long non-coding RNA, 1114 nt
Organism: Homo sapiens (human)
Lineage: Eukaryota; Metazoa; Chordata; Mammalia; Primates; Hominidae
Product: long intergenic non-protein coding RNA 1814
Source: Ensembl
CGGGGUGCACCCCCCUCCCUGGAGCUCUGGCUGCGUGCUGGCUCCCAGAAGAGGAACCUGCUGCAGGCGCCGGCGCGGGCGGCGAGGACGACCUGUUUUUCUGACCCAGCCCGGAAGCGCUGGUGCAGGCCCUGUGCUGCAAGGCGCCCAUACCUCCAGUCCGCACCUCAGGAGUCCUUCCCGUGUCCUCUGGGAGUUCCUGCCCAUGCUGGCUGAGGCCCCAGGCCUUGAGCUUCCUUUUUUCUUCUCGCUGUGGAAAUUGCCUGGAAAGCUAUGAACUGUUGGUUCUUGAAUCAGUUGGCUGCCCCGGAUGUCUGAAUCCCUUGGAAGGAACCUGGAGGAGUUGGCUGAUGGGCUCCAGGUGCUACCGGAUCACCCUAACAACCCUCUGGGACCUGUGGCCAUGUGUUCACAACAGCAGCCAUUACAGGUGUUUCCUGAACUCUUGUCGCGAGCCUCUGUCGGCUCCAUCUCAUCGAUCCUCCCAGCAACCCACAAGGAAGCUUCACAGAGAGGCAGAUGCCACACAGGCCACCCACCCAGAUGCAGAGCCAGAUUCCCUGCGUGGACUGGACGGGAGUUUCCCAGCUGGAGUUCUCUCGGCCAAGCUGCCUGUGACAUGGGGUUGGAGGUGCUCCAGAGAGUCAUGGCCACCCCUGGAGGAAGUGACUUGUGGCUGACUGCUCAAGGGGAAGUCCUGUGGCAGUGGAGUCGUCAGCAUUAAUUCAAAUAAGAUCUCUCCCUGCACACAAUCUGCUUUCGUGUUCCUGAUGGAUUGAAUCAAGAGUGAAUGAGCUCCUACUUCGCGAAAGCAAAACAAACUAAACGCAUCAACCACGACCGCAGAGCCCCCAUCUCUCCCAGGAGGGUGAGCCCAUGUUGUGUUUUCAUUUGUCAGAAAUCUAUCUUAGGAAGCCAUUCCUGAGAUCUGUUCUAAUUUAGGCCAUUUUUAAAAAAAAUAAUGCAGUUGAUUCUUUUCCCGUGAUCUUUCUUUUCUCCAUGACUUAAAUUUCCCCAGGAACUAUUCAAAUGCCGCAUCUGGGGUUUUGUUUUUGUUUUUUGAUGAAGUCAUGACUUUCUUUAAACAGUAAUUAUUAAACAAACCAAAGGGAAA